AGAGCUUGCUCUUAUGAAGUUAGCGGCGGACGGGUGAGUAACACGUGGGUAACCUGCCCAUAAGACUGGGAUAACUCCGGGAAACCGGGGCUAAUACCGGAUAACAUUUUGAACCGCAUGGUUCGAAAUUGAAAGGCGGCUUCGGCUGUCACUUAUGGAUGGACCCGCGUCGCAUUAGCUAGUUGGUGAGGUAACGGCUCACCAAGGCAACGAUGCGUAGCCGACCUGAGAGGGUGAUCGGCCACACUGGGACUGAGACACGGCCCAGACUCCUACGGGAGGCAGCAGUAGGGAAUCUUCCGCAAUGGACGAAAGUCUGACGGAGCAACGCCGCGUGAGUGAUGAAGGCUUUCGGGUCGUAAAACUCUGUUGUUAGGGAAGAACAAGUGCUAGUUGAAUAAGCUGGCACCUUGACGGUACCUAACCAGAAAGCCACGGCUAACUACGUGCCAGCAGCCGCGGUAAUACGUAGGUGGCAAGCGUUAUCCGGAAUUAUUGGGCGUAAAGCGCGCGCAGGUGGUUUCUUAAGUCUGAUGUGAAAGCCCACGGCUCACCCGUGGAGGGUCAUUGGAAACUGGGAGACUUGAGUGCAGAAGAGGAAAGUGGAAUUCCAUGUGUAGCGGUGAAAUGCGUAGAGAUAUGGAGGAACACCAGUGGCGAAGGCGACUUUCUGGUCUGUAACUGACACUGAGGCG
RNAcentral lists this ribosomal RNA (695 nucleotides) under Bacillus tropicus. RNAcentral's name for it is "bacterial SSU rRNA". It matches the Rfam family "Bacterial small subunit ribosomal RNA", at positions 75 to 753 of the family's 1533-position model. The record is from RNAcentral. Lineage: Bacteria; Bacillati; Bacillota; Bacilli; Caryophanales; Bacillaceae.